GUAGCGCCUGCUACAUCACCGAAAAGGCAUCGCAGACCUUCGAUCGCAUCAGACGGUGGAGAGUAACACUAGCUCAAAACCCUAGCCUCCAACUCAUAUACCUGUUGCUCGCCCCGACGCGCAUCAACUUCCGUCGCCGCCCCUUCCUCUCCGUCGCUCGCCUCGCGCCUACGCCACCACCUCUGCCAUGGUGCCCCGAAGAAGGAUGAGGCCUCGCCGCCGUCGUCCAAGCCGGCCAAGUCCGGAGGCGGGAAGCAGAAGAAGAAGAAGUGGAGCAAGGGUAAGCAAAAGGAGAAGGUCAACAACGCUGUGCUCUUCGACCAGGCCACCUAUGACAAGUUGCUCUCCGAGGUGCCCAAGUACAAGCAGAUCACCCCAUCCGUCCUCUCCGAGCGUCUCAGGGUCCAUAAGAAGCUUACGUAUCCAUCAAUUACCAAUCCAGAGAGGAUGAUAUUGAUGAAUAAAGCACGAAGUUUCCGUCAAAGUUGUGGAUACCACAACCUAGAAGAGUUGGUGGUAGAUUUUUCAUCAAGUAUGAAAUGUCUGUGAUGCUGAGCUGGGUGCUUGGUGGCAACAGCUCUGAGGUGGGACCAAAGGUGGGCACGGAAGCAGAUGCCGCGGGAGGAUGAGAGGGAAGUGAAAAUAAAUAAUAGAAUAUAGAGUAAUUAGUAUAUAGUAGAGAUUUAAGAUAAAUAUUGUUGGUGACUUGUUCUCAAAUGCUAUGAAUCAAGAAAAUGUUAAAUGUCAAAGCCCUUCGUCCUUCGGAUCAUUAUUUCCCUUCGGAUCUAAUGAAUCUAGGACGAAGGUUAUGAAAGACAUGUCUUCAUGAUCAUGAUGAAAGAUGAAGAACAUUCAUAUAAAGUACAGAAAAUAAUAUAAUCUUUUGUGAACAUUAUUAUUAAUCUAUUUCCAUUUAUUUUAUUUGUACAAACAAUAUUAAAUUAUAAAUGUACCUUCGGCUUGAAGGAGUAAAAAUACAAGUAUGGCACCAAAAGCAAAUGCCGAGUCAGCGUGAACAGUACGGGAGUACUGUUCAUCUAUUUAUAGGCGCGGGUCGCAGCCCAUGCAAGAUUACAUUAAUGCCCUUUACAUUUAUCAAUAACUCUAUAGUAAUUCUUCGAGGUCUAAUCUGGUUUUUCAUCUUUAAGUCGGUUUCCCUUUCCGCCGUUAUGCCGAAGCUCUUCUGUGCAUAGCUUCGUAAUGAUCUUUUCCUUCGUCACAAUCACCUUCCGUCCCACUCAAGCUUCGUCUUGGCCUUAAUCUUAUAUACUCGUAAUCCAAUUCCGAAUAUACCUGCUCACACAUUUGACUUGGAAAACAUUGUUAAAUCAUGUUUUUGAGGACCUUCGGAAGCCGAAGGCCCCCAACAGUAGCCCCUCGCAAUAUUAGUUUGUUGUACUGAAAAAUUCAUAUUGCGAUAUGGACGAAGGCCUUAAGCCGAAGGUCCGAAAAAACACCUUUCCUUUGCUAGAAUAGCAACCAGUCAUUGACAAGCGGGACCCUCCAGUUUUCGACAUAAUGGGUGUAUAAAUAGGGGCUCGCCACAAUUUAUUUGGCACGCUCUCUUGCCAUCUGUUUUGCCUGCUCAAAUAGCUUUCUGCCCACAAAUAUUUGGUUGCCUCCCUAGUUUUAAGCUUCGGAAGCGAGAGGCAGGAAUUCUUAAGGGAUGUCUGAGGAGAAGAAGAUUGCUGCCGAAAUGAAGCUGAGCCUUUCUGAGGAGAAAAAUCUGGGCUUCAUUGAAUCAAUAGCAAAAACAAAUACAGAGAAAAUUACUAGGGAGAUUUUGGAAGGCUUAUCUGAAGAUACUGGUGAAAGUGAUAGUUAUGAUGCAGACAGUGGGGGUGAGGAUUCCGAAGAUCGACCAUGGCGACCAAGCCAUUCAGUCUUCGGAAAAUCAACUAUUGGGCAAAGUCACCUUGAAAACAUGAGGGGGAGAUAUUUUCGAGAUAUGUCCAUCGUGAGGGCAGAUAACGGAGAGAGGAUUGUGUCGACUCCCGAAGAUAAUGAAGUCGUUAUCUUCCGAAGCUUUUUUAAAGCUGGGCUACGAUUCCCUGUAAGCAAGUUUGUGGUAGAAGUUCUGAAAAUAUAUCAGGUUUAUCUUCAUCAACUUACCCCUGAAGCAAUAAUAAGAAUGGGAGUCUUCGUCUGGGCCGUGAAGAGCCAGGGCCUAGAGCCAAAUGCGAGAAGCUUUUGCAAUAUUCAUGAGUUAUUAUAUGAGACGAAACCCUGGGGCAAAGAGCAAUAUCAUAACAACUUUGGCUGUUACAGCUUCGGUGCUCGCUCUGGAUCAAGCUGUCCCGUGCCAAUCUUCCGGAAGAGAUGGCCCGGGGAAUGGACGAAGGAAUGGUUCUAUGUAAAAAAUGAUUUGAAGGUUCGAGAAGAUAUUAAGGAUAUUAUCAUGUGCCCUAUCUGGCAGCGCUUUGGACUCCAGAAACUGAAGGUAGAAAUGGAUGAAGUAGCCGAAGAAUGCCAACGGGCCUUCGGCAUAGUCUGCUCUUUUAUUGGGACAAGAGAUUUAAUACAAGAACAUAUUGCCUUCAGAGUGUGGCCACUUGCAGAUAAUUGAGAAAUGCCGAAAGAAACUGUUAAAGAGACUGACGAAGGUGGGCUAGUCAGGCUGAAGUAUACAUUCAAGUACGGAGACAAGUUCGUUGAACCAGAUGAUGAUUGGUUAAAGAGCAUUGAGACUGUAAGUGAUGAACUGCUUAUGGUAUAUUCGAAAGCCGAAGACACUGCAUUGUCAGCGGCCUUCGGAGGCCGAAAAAAGAAAAGACUCAACCGAGUGUUUGAUGCAAUCGGGUUCGUCUACCCCGACUAUCGCUAUCCAGUGCGGGGGCAAAAAAGAAAAGGCGCAACUGCUGCGAAAGAAACUGUUGUAGCUGCUCCUAGCGAGCCAGCGCCGAAGAGAAAAAGGGUAAAGGUUCUCACACACCGGCCACACUAUAUCGAACCAGCCACGGUGCCUGAGUUCGCCGGUGAGACCUCUUCGGCCACCGAAGCUAAAGAGCCAACCCUGCUGCCAGAAGUCAAAGAAGUGGCCGAAGUGCCAGCGACAGAAAAGAUGGAAGAACCAAAGACAGAAGAAGCGAAAGCAUCAUCUGAGGGAAUGAAAAUAUCAGAAAUUUUAAGUCCUUCAGACGAAAUCGAAGCAGCAAAAAUUAAAAAGGGGCCAACAGUGACCCCAAAAAGAAAAAGAAUGGUUAAUGUGUUAGAUGUUUUGGAAACAAUUAAACUUCCAAGCACAACCCCAAAGAAGACUUCUGGAACUUCUGAGGCACUUGUUGAAGUAUCCGUUGCUGAAACUCCGAAGCAACAGACUGGAAUUGAAACCGGGCAUUCAGAACCAACCAAGGUAAUACCUUUGAAAGCAGAAGAAACAAAAAUUGCAAAAGCAACCGGAAAAAUGAAAAUGUCAGAGCCAACUUUGGUUGAAGAAAUUGAUACCGCUGCCCCCGAAGCAUCUUCGAAAAUAUACGAUUAUAUCGUGUGACAUGCUUCGGGGAAAAAGUUAUCGGAAGAAGAAGUUUUUGAAGCUAAUCAUUAUGCCAAAGAAUUGAAAUAUCCGAAGGGGGCACUAGUAUUCAAUGGGACAAACGAAGAUGAUUUCCUAUACUGCCUCCCAGACAACAAAGAAUUAUCCGUCUGUCGGGAAAUGGCUAGAAGUAUGGGGUUUCCGAAGCUUGAAGCUGGAUUAUGCGCUAUGACGAAGGACGAUCUUGCGGAUAGUCUUGCGUACAAUAGCCUGAAGGUACAAGAACUGCGAGUCUGGAAAUUUUAUGAUUUGCAACCCAUUCUUUUAUUCUUAUACCAACUCUUUUACAUAUAUGGUUUAAUACUAAGCAACGCAUUGAGAGAGCAAAAGAAUGCCGAAUGAAAGCAUCUAGGCCCCUGGUUGGUUUUAGUGAUUAAUGACAACGUAAUAUUAUAUGUGACUAACGUGUGUUUUGCAGAGACAAAUGGUAAGUUAGGUCGCAUGACAGGUAGAAGUACAACGGUGAAAACAAUCCCGGAGAUAAGAACUCGAAGCGACGGCUAAAACGACGGAACAAAAGGUGAAGGUCUACGGAGUCCGAGUGUCAAGGAGAUGUGGACACUCGCGAUUUAGUUAGGUCUUUUAUUCUCUUUUAGCCGUACUAUAAAGAGGGGUUGUCGAUGAGUAGUUUGACCAAGAGAGUUCUAGUGUAGUGUUGGUGCACAAUCACACUCAUAUACAGUGCUAGGUGUCACUCUAGAACUCACACACAAGUUAGAGCGAAAACCGAUUUGAAAAUCAGCUGAAAAACAAGAGUUAGUGUUUCUGGCUUUGGGGCACCGGACUGUCCGGUGUGCACCGGACUGUCCGGUGUGCACCGGACUGUCCGGUGCACCCUCUGCCAGGUGGGGCCAGGCUGGUCCACGGCAGAGUCUUUCCCCUUCGCAGAAACCCGAGAGCGCAGCUUUCAGAGUUGAAUUUUAGUGGCACACCGGACACCGCAUCGGACUGUCCGGUGUGCACCGGACAAUGGACUGUUCACUGUCCGGUGCGCCAUGAGUCCAACGGCUCUCUGUCAGAACUAGCCGUUGGAAUCGACCGUUGGCGCACCGGUGGCGCACCGGACUGUCCGGUGCGCCAUCGCGCAGUGAAUUGCCUGUAACGGCUAGUUGGUGGGUGAGGGCUAUUUAUACCCCCUCCACCCACCAUAUUCAAUGUCUUGCACUCCACAUUUAUUCCAGCACAUUGCUAGAGCAUUGCAAGCACCAAAAAGCCUAGUGAGGAGAUUAGAGAAUCAUAAUCCGCGCUUGUUCCUCAUUAGCGCUAGUGAAAGCCACCUAGAGCACACACCACUUGCAUUAGGCUUCUCUUGGUCAAGCGAAAGUCUACGGCUUGUUACUCUUGGUGAUCGGCAUCACCUAAACGGCUUGGUGGCGUUGGGAGCUCGGUGAUCACCGUGAAGAUCUUGUUGGUGACCCGACUCAAGUUUGUAAGCGGUCUCGAGGGAUCCACCGCGCCGGAGUGGCAAAGGAUCAUCUCGUAGUGAGCACUUGGUUCUUGCGAGGACCAAGGGGGAGCGAUACCCUUGCGCGGGUGCUCCAACGAGGACUGGUGGAGAGUGCCGACUCUUCGAUACCUCGGGAAAAAUUGGAGGAGUCUUCUAAACUUUGCUUUACAUUCCGCACUUAAUUCAAGCACUUUACAUUG
RNAcentral lists this unclassified non-coding RNA (5179 nucleotides) under Zea mays. RNAcentral describes it as "misc RNA Zm00001eb011740". Lineage: Eukaryota; Viridiplantae; Streptophyta; Magnoliopsida; Poales; Poaceae. The record is from RNAcentral.